GCCACGAUGGCAGAGCGGUCAACGCACCCGCCUGCAGAGCGGGUUCUCGUCGGUGAGAAAACCGCUCGCGGUUUUCGAGCCCUGGAAGACGAGCGCAGCGAGUCUUCCUUCGGUUCGAAUCCGACUCGUGGCU
This 133-nucleotide transfer RNA is filed under the name Haloarcula sp. S1AR25-4. RNAcentral's name for it is "tRNA-Cys". It matches the Rfam family "tRNA". Rfam says of the family: Transfer RNA (tRNA) molecules are approximately 80 nucleotides in length. Their secondary structure includes four short double-helical elements and three loops (D, anti-codon, and T loops). The record is from RNAcentral. Lineage: Archaea; Methanobacteriati; Methanobacteriota; Halobacteria; Halobacteriales; Haloarculaceae.